This is a non-coding RNA of Penaeus vannamei (Pacific white shrimp), 480 nucleotides long. Lineage: Eukaryota; Metazoa; Arthropoda; Malacostraca; Decapoda; Penaeidae. The record is from RefSeq and is a predicted model, not a curated record.
GGGGCGCACCGACCAAGCAAUCUCCCUGCUGGAGUCCGUCUUCGCCCCAGAGGAGGAGAAAGCAGGGGAGGCGGGGGCUCUCCUGGCCCGCCUCUACCUCCAGCAGGGGGAAGGUGAAGGAGGCGGAGGCGUGCACCUCAGCCUCACCGCCGCCCAGCCCUCGCAGCCGCGGAUCCUGGCGGAAUACGCGGCGUUCCUGCAGAGAUUGGGACGGAACGAAGCCGCUGCCCGGCACUACGAGGCCGCCCUGAGUCUCUCGAUCACGCCCACGCCCCGCCCUCAAAGGCUACGCCGCCCUCAUGAGUGCAAGGGACCACCACGCCCGCGCCCAUGAACUAUAUACGAGAGCGCUUGACAGGGAGUGGGACCCUGACACGGCGACGGCCCUGGCAAAGGUGUGUAUCUUGACAGGGAGAUUGGAGCAAGCACACACCCUGCUCGACCGCGUGACCCUGCUGCACCCCAAGCAUUUGGCAGCGC